CCCCAUUCUAACUGGCGGCCGUCUUGGCAGGAACCAAUAUUCUUCUUCUGGAGACAUACAAAUGCAUUCAGAUCCUGAUUGUUUCUGUCCCAGCUGACAAUGGCCUUUUAAUUUUGUUAGAGUAUCUGAAACAAAAGAAAAAAGGAGAAAAGAACAGUGCACAGCAUGGAUUCUAAGUGAUAAGCUUGAAUUCAGAGAAGAGGCAGUGGUAAAGGAUUCAUAUUUAUCUCUUGGAGUUAGAUCAUUCAUUUUGGCUUCUCUAAAUACAUUGUCAUUAAAUAUUCCACCUGAAAGGUCCUUUCCAGUGCACAUGAGGUGUCAUUUUCCAACCUAAAAUUGCGAUUAUGUUCAGAUAACUAAAGAAAAUGGAACUGUUGAAAUUUUUGUUCAUUUGUUUUUCAAAUAUUUAUUGAGUAUACAUGAUAUUCUCAUCACUCUGUAAGGUUCUGGAGAGAGUAGAUUGAGCAUAAACUGACCCAGAUCCUGUGCUCACCAAGCUUAUAGUCUUGUGGGUGCAGACAGACAUUAAUCAAAUGAGCACACUAAUAUAAAUAUAGAAUUGUUGCCUUUCUUAGGGCUAUCAAAGAGAAGCAUAUAAUAAAAAAUUGAUGUAGCUAGAAAGAUUAGAAAAAGUAAAAUGAAGAAAGGUGAGGCUGUUCAAUACAGAGGAAACAUAAGGUAUGGAAAAGUUCAAAUGGGAGGCAGUGGUCGGGCAUAGUGGCUCACGCUUGUAAUCCCAGCAUUUUGGGAGGCUGAGGCAGGCAGAUCACAAGGUCAGGAGUUCGAGAACAGCCUGGUCAAUAUGGCGAAACCCCAUCUGUACUAAAAAUACCAAAAUUAGCAGGGCAUGGUGGCAUGCACCUGUAGUCCCAGCUACUCAGGAGGCUGAGGCAAAAGAGUCACUUGAACCCGGGAGGCAGAGGUUGCAGUGAGCCGAGAUUGUGCCACUGCACCCAGCCUGGGCAACAGAGUAAGACUCUGUCUAAAAAAAAAAAAAAAAGGCAGGCAGCAUGUGAGUUUCCUGGAACUGAAAGAACCCAGUGUGGUUGAAGUGCUGAAAAACAAGAGGAUGGAACAAGAUGUGGCCAGAGAGGUAGGUGUCUGGUAGGCUGUGUGGGAGGCUAAUAGGGUCUUUGAAGGGUUUUGUCUUCAUUUUAUAAAUAGUAGACAGUCUCUGAUAGGUUUUAAGCAGGGAGUGGUGUAACAAAAUCAGCCCUCGAUUUUGAAAAAAAGAAAUUAAUUAUGGCUUCUGUGCAGAGAAUGGAUUUGAAGAGGCAUGGUGGUCAAUAGGGCUCCAGGGAGCUAAUCUAUGAGGUUAUUGUGGUAGUUCAGGUGAAAGAGGAUGAUAAUUUGGACCAAGGUUCCAGAGGUGGAAAUGGAGAAAAGUGGAUAAACUUGAGACACAGCUAGCAGGUAAAACAAGUGAUAUUACCUAUUAUGUAAGUUAUGAGAGCUGUCAAUUAUAUGAUUCUUCGGUUUCUGAUUUGCAUAAAAGAAUAUACAUUAGUGCCUUACCUGAAAUAGAAAAUAUUAGAAAAUGCUUAGUUUUAGGAAGGAAGGGUGAUGAAUUAAGAGUUCCCUACUGUAGAUGUUGAAUUUAUGGUAUCUUUAAGACAUCCAAACAACGUAGAUAUAUAGGAAUUUAGAUAUUCAUGUCUAAAUCUCAGUGGCGAAGUCUGUGCUAAAGAUUUAAAUCUGUUAUUUGUCUAUGGGGGAAUCACUGAAGCUAUGCAUGUGGAUGAGAUUCUUCAGUAGGAGAGUGCAGUGUGAGGCGAGGGGACAGAUCCAAAACUUGGGAAACUCCAGUGAUUAAUGUCCAAGCACUGGCAGGAGCCUACCAAAAAUAGAGGGCAACAGCCAGAAAUGUCGGAGCUAAACAAGAAUAUGAAGCCAAGGAAAGAACAUAUGUGCAGAAGGUCAACAUUGCUGAAGGCUGCCGAAAGGCCACAGAAGAUAAGGAAAAAAAAAAAAAGUCCAUUAGAUUUAGCAAUAUGGAUGUGAAUGGCUUGAAAUUCAGAUUUUCUUACAAGAAUCAGUGGAGAAAUGCAGCUCCUAAAUGUAGCUAUUAAUCCCUGCAUGGCAUUCUAGGCACUAGGACAUUAUGGUGGGAAAAAAAAAAGAAAGGAAGGAUGGAAGGAAGAAGGUGGAGGAGAGGAGAGGAAAGGAGAGGAAAAAAGAAAGAGAAAACAGAUGUUAAUCAAGUAAUUAUAAUAACGGAUUUAUAAUAAAGGGCUGAGACAAGUAUUCUGAAGAAAGGGAACAUGGUUUCAGGAGACCACAUACCAUAAAGACUCCAACUGGGAAGAUUAGGGAAGGAUUCAUAAGGAAAUUACACUUGAACCAAGAUGAGGAACUGAAUAGCAUGUCGGUGAGGGAGGGGGAUGAAAAUAGAGGGAGUGACACUGGGGGUGUAUUUAUGAAAGAGGGAACCUUGGUUUCUUUGCUCAUGUUGAGGCCCACCUAGAGAACCUGGACCUGAAGCCGAACUCCUCAGUCUAUUGAAUGAAACACAUUUUCUUGAUCUGGAUCUGACUAUUCAGGCAUCCCAAGAACCAAAAUGACCUCGUGAGCAAGUUAAUUGUCAAGGCAGGACUGGAGGCUCAGCUCACUCUUCCUCCUCUUAGCUUAUCAAGUAGAAGGUUUGAUAAGGAAAGGUGGCUCACGUAAGAAGCAAAAAUAAAGAUGUAAAAAAUUCCUAGGUUUCUUAUUCACAGUUGUUUUCCUUUCCUUCUAUUACCACCAUUUUAUCUGGUGAAACUUGGCCCGGAACUCUCCUGAACUUGGAGACCUAUCCUUCCGAGCUACAAAUGAAGACUUAGGAGUGUUCAUCAAAUAAGGAGUUGCAAGAAGAACACAGAAACCAGAUUUAUUGUAUACAUGAAAAAAUAAAAAGUACUACUCAAGGAAAGUUUGAGCAUUUUUAUUCACUAAGUUCCAUUUCCUGGUGUUUCAUGCAUGCUAGGAAUUCUAAAUACUGUACUGUUGAAUGCUUGUUUGAAUAGCAAACGCAUUAGACAUGCAAUUUAACAUUUAAAAAAAGGUACAUUGUGCAUGAAUACUAAAGAAAGGCAUUUCUUUCAUUGUCUGAGAAGAAAAUGGAAAAUAAAUUGUGUGAUGUGCAAUUUGGGCUGCUAGAGAACUACUUUAGAUCUCUUACCUGGAAUAAUUUUUACUCUUACCUCA
RNAcentral lists this long non-coding RNA (3183 nucleotides) under Homo sapiens (human). RNAcentral's name for it is "HSALNT0326223". Lineage: Eukaryota; Metazoa; Chordata; Mammalia; Primates; Hominidae. The record is from RNAcentral.